Molecule: long non-coding RNA, 2016 nt
Organism: Cebus imitator (Panamanian white-faced capuchin)
Lineage: Eukaryota; Metazoa; Chordata; Mammalia; Primates; Cebidae
Exons: 3
Source: RefSeq, a predicted model, not a curated record
CUUCUGCGCGCGCCUAGCGGCGGGCACGCCCCGUCACGUGCUGCGUGCUGCCUGCGCGUGUUUCCGCCGCGGCCCGCUAGGCGCGGAGGGGUUGGAGCGCGGCGCCCGCCGGAACGCGGCGCCCGCCGGAACGCGGCGCCGGAUGGGACAGCGCCCGCCUCCGAAAUUAACAAGCCGCGUCUGCGUGGCUCGAGUGCAUGUGUGGAACGAGGGGCCAUGGUGCCCGUGGGGUCCCCAUGGGAGGUCGACUCGGGACCUCGAAAAGAUGGCGAGCUGCUGAGGCUGGAAAAGAUUUGAGACCACAAGUGCAGCCUCCACUCUCCCUGUUAGACUUACUCCGGAGUCCCUGACCCCCUCAGACUUUCCUUCCUACUUCCAUUCCUUCAGCAAAUAUUGAACACCUAUGGUGUCGGGCCGGGGCUUCAGGGAAGGGUGAAGCAAGCUGGUCAUCCUGGAGGCAUGGAAGACUCCAGGAGCAGACCACAGGGGCGGCUGUGGACCUAGGGCCCGGGACCUGCUGAACCAAAUUACAACAUGCCUCUGAACUCCAAAGGCCAGUGCAGAGGAAGCGGCAGGGUGGGUGAAGGGGAGGGGAUACAUUGCAUGCAGCCUGGAGCUGGAGAGCAGAGUCAGCAUGGAGGGCCUCAGGGAGGGGAGAGCCGAGUGGACCAUGACUUCGUGGGAAGUCCCAAGCCCUCACAGACCUGGAGGGAAUGGGCAUUGCAGGCGAAGAGAGUGUGGGUGCCAGAGAGGACUGGGCUGGUGGGCAAGCCUGGAGCUGCAGUGGGAGCCGGCUCCUGUAGCCUUCAGAGUGGUCGGCUUCUCUGCACUGGCUUCUCUUCACUCCGAAGACCUGAAAAGAACUGAGUCCUGGCAGUCUUCCCUGAAUGUCCUGGGCUACAGAGCCCCAAGGGAUGAGGAGUGGUCCCGUAUACUGGCGAGGUGGUACUUCCCACUGUCCUGAGUAGGAGAGGGCAGAGCCAACUUUAUUUUGAACAAUGAAGAAAUGGCUGUUUCAUCUGGAAAAAAUGUCAGUGAAGACAUGAACUCAAGAUUCUCUAAAAUUAUGCCGUGUUUCCCUUAUAGCCAGAGAGCAUUGAGUGUUCUCAUGUAUCAUUUCAUUUGAAGCAGGAAGGGCUGGAGACUCCCAUCGGCCCCACCGGAGGAGGAAGGAGCCGGGAUGGGGCAUGUGGAUAGAAGUGCCUAUGGCCUUGCUUGUGUGCAGGCUGGGGAGGAAUGGCAUCAGUGGUUUCAGGAGGCAUUGCCCCAGGAUUGUCGCACAGGGACAAUGUGUUGGGUUCACAUGCCUGACCCUGAAACUCCAAAAGCCCCAGACACAGAGCAUAGCCAGAGGGCGCUUGGUUGGAGGGGGCCUGAGUGUGGGUGGGGACCCACUCCCCCAGGCUGCCAGAAAUUCCUUUGAGCGCUCAUGCUCUGAGUUAAGCCUUGUUCAUAUAACCUAUCUUUUGAAGUGCACUCUGCCACCUAAUUCACCUCAAUGUGAAUGAGUUUUUCCAAAGUUAGGCAGGAUGGGGGUGGAGCAGGCAAAUAGGUCUGUGUGCCCACAGCUCAGAGGGUGGCCUGGGGGAAGAGGUAGGGUCAGCUUUGGCCACCUGACCUCUCAGAGGGAGUUUCUUUCAAGCCUUCUAAGCCCUGUGUUCCCAGAAUUCUUGCCCUGCUGGUGUGGCCCCAGGUGUGUUUAGAUCAGUUCUAAUCCAUCUCAGACGCCAGGCCUCAAUGGAGCCCUCUGAUCCCACCCCUCCCCCAGCACAGCCCAGGUUGCCCCUUUUACUCUCCCCCAGAUCUCAUGUUUGUGCCCACAAUGUCUUAAAAUAUCUGUUUCCUCACCUUGGGGUGGCGAUUGUGCUGCCUGCCUUUCAGGGUCACUUGAAGGUUAAAUGCAGGACUGGGUGUGAAAGGCCCUAGCACUUCGGAUGAGCUGAUUGAUGUCAAGUGUUUAGAAUCAUCUUGGGCUAUUCUUUUUUUUUUGGAAACCAAGCCUUGCCCUGUCAUCCA